UUUUAUUUCUAUGGUGAAACUUAUUCUAAUUUCCAACCCAAGAUUCUGGAACACAUCUCCCAUUAUGAAGUGGGCCUCAGGAUGGGAGCGGAAACAGAGCCUCUUGUUCACACUCCACACCCUCAUUUUCCAGCAGUGAGGGUAGACUAUUAAGGCUCUCAUGUCAUCAAGGAUCGAGGCAAUGGGUUAAUGGAGACUCUAGACAUUUGUUUCCUCACCAGUGAAAAUUAAAUGAAGACCCAGGAAUCACUACAGCUAUAGGGAUGAGAAGGACAUUUCAGCAGCUAGAGUGUGGUGGCCUCCUUAGCAGCUUCUUUUUCCAUCAAGAAAAUAUUUCUGGACAAAAACAAACCCAUAGCUGGUUGGAAGCAGGGCAUUGGGCCCAGUGUUAAAGAUUUGAAUAAGAAAGAUGCAGAAGAUAUUAAUCAUAGGCUUAUCAAUGCCCCUAGGAGAUCUGUCCCCCUGAUUGAAGCAACUCUGGCCUUUGGAAGUUCAUACCCAAGAACCAUCUGAAGAGCCAGCGAAAGAGACUUGCCAGCCAUGGGGAUGCAAGUAAAAGGCUCUGAGGCUGGAAAGAACAUGGCAGGAGUGAGG
Molecule: long non-coding RNA, 594 nt
Filed under: Homo sapiens (human)
Lineage: Eukaryota; Metazoa; Chordata; Mammalia; Primates; Hominidae
Description: HSALNT0312896
Source: RNAcentral